UUAUAUUCUCCACAGGGGGGGAUGAGAACCCCCGACCGGGGUUCGACAACUGGCGCAGCCAGUCGGACAGACCGCGCACGCAGUAAGCGGGCUGCCCCGCAGGGGCGAGCGAAGCGAGUCAAUCCCCCCCUCACCGCCA
This 139-nucleotide small RNA is filed under the name Klebsiella pneumoniae. Its description in RNAcentral is "RtT sRNA". It matches the Rfam family "RtT RNA". From Rfam's summary of the family: This family represents a bacterial cis-regulatory element known as RtT RNA. The exact function of RtT is unknown although it is thought that it may be involved in changing the cellular response in relation to amino acid starvation. Lineage: Bacteria; Pseudomonadati; Pseudomonadota; Gammaproteobacteria; Enterobacterales; Enterobacteriaceae. The record is from RNAcentral.